GGGUUGUGAGGUUAAGCGACUAAGCGUACACGGUGGAUGCCCUGGCAGUCAGAGGCGAUGAAGGACGUGCUAAUCUGCGAAAAGCGUCGGUAAGGUGAUAUGAACCGUUAUAACCGGCGAUGUCCGAAUGGGGAAACCCAGUGCAAUUCGUUGCACUAUCGUUAACUGAAUACAUAGGUUAACGAGGCGAACCGGGGGAACUGAAACAUCUAAGUACCCCGAGGAAAAGAAAUCAACCGAGAUUCCCCCAGUAGCGGCGAGCGAACGGGGAGCAGCCCAGAGUCUGAAUCAGCUUGUGUGUUAGUGGAACGGUCUGGAAAGUCCGACGGUACAGGGUGAUAGUCCCGUACACCAAAAUGCACAGGUUGUGAACUCGAAGAGUAGGGCGGGACACGUGGUAUCCUGUCUGAAUAUGGGGGGACCAUCCUCCAAGGCUAAAUACUCCUGACUGACCGAUAGUGAACCAGUACCGUGAGGGAAAGGCGAAAAGAACCCCGGCGAGGGGAGUGAAAAAGAACCUGAAACCGUGUACGUACAAGCAGUGGGAGCACCUUCGGGUGUGACUGCGUACCUUUUGUAUAAUGGGUCAGCGACUUAUAUUCUGUAGCAAGGUUAACCGUAUAGGGGAGCCGCAGGGAAACCGAGUCUUAACUGGGCGUUAAGUUGCAGGGUAUAGACCCGAAACCCGGUGAUCUAGCCAUGGGCAGGUUGAAGGUUGGGUAACACUAACUGGAGGACCGAACCGACUAAUGUUGAAAAAUUAGCGGAUGACUUGUGGCUGGGGGUGAAAGGCCAAUCAAACCGGGAGAUAGCUGGUUCUCCCCGAAAGCUAUUUAGGUAGCGCCUCGUGAACUCAUCUUCGGGGGUAGAGCACUGUUUCGGCUAGGGGGUCAUCCCGACUUACCAACCCGAUGCAAACUACGAAUACCGAAGAAUGUUAUCACGGGAGACACACGGCGGGUGCUAACGUCCGUCGUGAAGAGGGAAACAACCCAGACCGCCAGCUAAGGUCCCAAAGUCAUGGUUAAGUGGGAAACGAUGUGGGAAGGCACAGACAGCCAGGAUGUUGGCUUAGAAGCAGCCAUCAUUUAAAGAAAGCGUAAUAGCUCACUGGUCGAGUCGGCCUGCGCGGAAGAUGUAACGGGGCUAAACCAUGCACCGAAGCUGCGGCAGCGACACUAUGUGUUGUUGGGUAGGGGAGCGUUCUGUAAGCCUGCGAAGGUGUGCUGUGAGGCAUGCUGGAGGUAUCAGAAGUGCGAAUGCUGACAUAAGUAACGAUAAAGCGGGUGAAAAGCCCGCUCGCCGGAAGACCAAGGGUUCCUGUCCAACGUUAAUCGGGGCAGGGUGAGUCGACCCCUAAGGCGAGGCCGAAAGGCGUAGUCGAUGGGAAACAGGUUAAUAUUCCUGUACUUGGUGUUACUGCGAAGGGGGGACGGAGAAGGCUAUGUUAGCCGGGCGACGGUUGUCCCGGUUUAAGCAUGUAGGCUGGUUGUCCAGGCAAAUCCGGAUAAUCAAGGCUGAGGUGUGAUGACGAGGCACUACGGUGCUGAAGUAACAAAUGCCCUGCUUCCAGGAAAAGCCUCUAAGCAUCAGGUAACAUCAAAUCGUACCCCAAACCGACACAGGUGGUCAGGUAGAGAAUACCAAGGCGCUUGAGAGAACUCGGGUGAAGGAACUAGGCAAAAUGGUGCCGUAACUUCGGGAGAAGGCACGCUGGUGUGUAGGUGAAGUCCCUGCGGAUGGAGCUGAGACCAGUCGAAGAUACCAGCUGGCUGCAACUGUUUAUUAAAAACACAGCACUGUGCAAACACGAAAGUGGACGUAUACGGUGUGACGCCUGCCCGGUGCCGGAAGGUUAAUUGAUGGGGUUAUCCGUAAGGAGAAGCUCUUGAUCGAAGCCCCGGUAAACGGCGGCCGUAACUAUAACGGUCCUAAGGUAGCGAAAUUCCUUGUCGGGUAAGUUCCGACCUGCACGAAUGGCGUAAUGAUGGCCAGGCUGUCUCCACCCGAGACUCAGUGAAAUUGAACUCGCUGUGAAGAUGCAGUGUACCCGCGGCAAGACGGAAAGACCCCGUGAACCUUUACUAUAGCUUGACACUGAACAUUGAGCCUUGAUGUGUAGGAUAGGUGGGAGGCUUUGAAGCGUGGACGCCAGUCUGCGUGGAGCCAACCUUGAAAUACCACCCUUUAAUGUUUGAUGUUCUAACGUUGGCCCCUUACCGGGGUUGCGGACAGUGUCUGGUGGGUAGUUUGACUGGGGCGGUCUCCUCCCAAAGCGUAACGGAGGAGCACGAAGGUUAGCUAAUCCUGGUCGGACAUCAGGAGGUUAGUGCAAUGGCAUAAGCUAGCUUGACUGCGAGCGUGACGGCGCGAGCAGGUGCGAAAGCAGGUCAUAGUGAUCCGGUGGUUCUGAAUGGAAGGGCCAUCGCUCAACGGAUAAAAGGUACUCCGGGGAUAACAGGCUGAUACCGCCCAAGAGUUCAUAUCGACGGCGGUGUUUGGCACCUCGAUGUCGGCUCAUCACAUCCUGGGGCUGAAGUAGGUCCCAAGGGUAUGGCUGUUCGCCAUUUAAAGUGGUACGCGAGCUGGGUUUAGAACGUCGUGAGACAGUUCGGUCCCUAUCUGCCGUGGGCGCUGGAGAACUGAGGGGGGCUGCUCCUAGUACGAGAGGACCGGAGUGGACGCAUCACUGGUGUUCGGGUUGUCAUGCCAAUGGCACUGCCCGGUAGCUAAAUGCGGAAGAGAUAAGUGCUGAAAGCAUCUAAGCACGAAACUUGCCCCGAGAUGAGUUCUCCCUGACCCUUUAAGGGUCCUGAAGGAACGUUGAAGACGACGACGUUGAUAGGCCGGGUGUGUAAGCGCAGCGAUGCGUUGAGCUAACCGGUACUAAUGAACCGUGAGGCUUAACCUUACAACGCCGAAG
This 2923-nucleotide ribosomal RNA is filed under the name Klebsiella pneumoniae. RNAcentral describes it as "23S ribosomal RNA". It matches the Rfam family "Bacterial large subunit ribosomal RNA". Lineage: Bacteria; Pseudomonadati; Pseudomonadota; Gammaproteobacteria; Enterobacterales; Enterobacteriaceae. The record is from RNAcentral.